UGUAUCGCAACCAUGUAGUAUGCACGACGGGCGAAGCGAAGCCGCGGUAGUCGACGAGUUCACUCGAUUCGCCGCACAAGUUUGGAGGGAACAUCGACUCGUAGGUUAAAAUUGCUUCGUUUUCCGUCUAAUUGCGAACGAUUUUGCUUUUGUUCCAUAGGACUCUGAUUUGCGUACCCGAUCGUGCUCGCCUCGGGCCUUCCUGGAGAAUUUGGCCCUUCUUAGGGCAUGAAGACGUUAGCACUGGGGGCUUUACAUGCUUAAAAUCCAGCGAUGUUCGUGGGAGUCUCAGUACAGACAUUUUAAAGGUGUGUCAAUACUGGAUGUCACUUAAGCUCUGAACACAAUGAGGUGGUUGUCCAAAGGUGCAGGGGGGGCAUACAUGUGAGCCCUCAUGUUCCUAGGGGCCAAAUGUGAGACAAAUAGUAUCUCACAUACUUUAUUGAUUCAUGUGGUGCCAAAGAGCCAGGGAAGUUUAUAUUUUGUUCAACAGAUGUGAGUCAUUUGUUUAUAGGACCGUAUGGUAAGUGUCAAUUUCCAUCUUUCCAUGUACCCUACACUGUUUGCAUACUAGCUCAUGCCACCUGCUUUUUACUGCACCCCAAUGUACCCUCUGUUGCAACCUCUGUGCUCCUUCUCAAUGGCCAUUUCCCAUCUCUUUCCCACUUCCCAACACCUUUAAAAGCCAGGCUAAAGGUAAAAAAAAGGUAACCUACUGACCAUUUGGGUCUGUGACAUGAAUCACCUUUUGAUGGAGCAGGAGGCCUAUCUUCCUUCAUAUUGUUUUCUCUGGCUUUUCAUCAUGGAUAGAAGAAUUAAUAAUGUAUGGAAUAUGGACAUUGGACAUGACAGCUAGUAUUUGUUGAGCAAUGUGCUCUGAACAUGGUUUUGUACCCAAAAGUAAGUCAUGUCUGAGUGACAAAUUUCACAUUCUACUAUCUGAUUUCUCUAUGAAUUUAAGAAUUCAUAAUGUACAGACAGUAUGGGCAGUGGAAAUGACAUAAUAGCAUUUGUUCCAUCAACCAUCUGUCUCCGGGAUCCCUCUGGUGGAGCAAUGAGCUGUUGACAUGGUUUUGUGCCCUAAAGUAACCCCCUGCUGAGUGACAAGCUCUCAUCCAUCCCCUUUGAUGAUUGUCCACUUGAGGAAUGUUGGGGACUCUGCACCAAGAAUAUCAGAGCUGGCCUGUAUGGUUUGUACCUGUAAGUGCCUGAAGGGAACUGAUGAGUAAGUACACUGACCAUUUAUUAUGAUAAGGAUGGACUGCUCACCGCAUGAUUAACUUUGUUUUGUAAGCUUGCUGAAGGUCUCCCUCACCCCUCUUCUUGGCUCCACCUCUCAAUUAUGUAGUGAGAUGCAGAUGA
Non-coding RNA from Musa acuminata subsp. malaccensis (wild Malaysian banana), 1362 nucleotides. The record is from RefSeq and is a predicted model, not a curated record. Lineage: Eukaryota; Viridiplantae; Streptophyta; Magnoliopsida; Zingiberales; Musaceae.